This 545-nucleotide small RNA is filed under the name Pongo abelii (Sumatran orangutan). RNAcentral describes it as "retained intron". Lineage: Eukaryota; Metazoa; Chordata; Mammalia; Primates; Hominidae. The record is from RNAcentral.
AUUCCCAGGCUGGUCUGAGCUCCGGGGCCGUGGUCCCGCUGCCUCCUCUGGUCGUUGUGCGGAAGCUGCCACGCAGGCAGACCAUGGCAGAGUUCUCCCAGAAACGGGGGAAGCGGCGUGGCGACGAGGGGCUGGGCAGCAUGGUGGACUUCCUUCUGGCCAAUGCCCGCCUGGUGCUGGGCGUGGGCGGGGCUGCUGUGCUGGGCAUUGCCACCCUGGCCGUGAAGCGGGUAAGGCCAGGUGGGCGGGUCAUGUCUGAAGCUCCUAGAGGAGGACAACAGGGUUGGGCUUUUCAGAGGGGCCCUGGGGAGGUGUGGGGACUGCCCCAGGCCUUCAUGGGAGCCCAGGGCACCUGCUUCUCCACCCAGCACGCUGGUCUGCUUUGCCCUUGGGCUUUGCUGUGACUGCCCAGACUUCAUAUACACUGAUCUGUGUGACUGUGCCUGCAGUUCAUUGACAGGGCCACUAGCCCGCGGGAUGAGGACGACACCAAGGCAGACAGCUGGAAGGAACUGAGCCUGCUCAAGGCCACACCACACCUGCAG